RNAcentral lists this ribosomal RNA (251 nucleotides) under Salmonella enterica. RNAcentral describes it as "partial 16S ribosomal RNA". It matches the Rfam family "Bacterial small subunit ribosomal RNA", at positions 1 to 250 of the family's 1533-position model. The record is from RNAcentral. Lineage: Bacteria; Pseudomonadati; Pseudomonadota; Gammaproteobacteria; Enterobacterales; Enterobacteriaceae.
AAAUUGAAGAGUUUGAUCAUGGCUCAGAUUGAACGCUGGCGGCAGGCCUAACACAUGCAAGUCGAACGGUAGCACAGAGAGCUUGCUCUCGGGUGACGAGUGGCGGACGGGUGAGUAAUGUCUGGGAAACUGCCUGAUGGAGGGGGAUAACUACUGGAAACGGUGGCUAAUACCGCAUAACGUCGAAAGACCAAAGAGGGGGACCUUCGGGCCUCUUGCCAUCAGAUGUGCCCAGAUGGGAUUAGCUUGUU